CGCGGGCGGCGGAGCAGCGGGAUGCGGCAGGGCCGGGCCGCAGGGCUGGCGGCGCUGGCCGCGGUGCUCCUGGUGGCUGCAGGCAGAGCCCAGGUGCAGCAGGAGCCACGGGCACAGACCACCGAGGGCACGGGCAUCAACAUCGCCUGCUCACACCCCAACAUCCAGUCAAGCGACUACAUCUACUGGUACCGUCAGUUCCCGGGCCGAGAACCCGCAUUCCUCGUAUGGGCUUAUAGUGGGUCCAAAGAUGUGAGGAAUCCUGCAGGGCGGCUCUCGGUGACAGGAGACCGCCGGUCCAGCGCCCUGUGGCUCACCGAGCCCCGGCUUCGGGACGCGGCGGUGUAUUACUGCGCCCUGAGAGCCACGGGGAGAGGAGCCGGGGCUGCGGCCGUGCAGGAACCGUGGCGGGCGGGGCCGGGCGUGUGUGGCGGGGGCGAGGCAGGGGCACAGCCCCCAGGGGGCGCUGCCGCUCCGCCCGCCAGGACCACCUUGUCCCGCAGCCGCGGGGGUUCCCCCGCCAGUCCAGACCCGUCCCCACUGAGGCCCUUCGGUUCUUCUGGGUCCGAGGAUGGGGGUCAGGUGUGGGCAGACCCAUCUGGGUGUGAGGGGUCAGGACGUAACACCCAGCGAUGUCAAGAGAGUGGAGGGGCACACCUGACUGCAUGAGCUGUGUGCGUAGCACCAGAGAGAUCUCCACGCAGUCGUGCUCUCGCUGCUUCUUUCAAGUUGCUAACACCUGGCAGAGAGAGGCCUGCAUAUGAGCAGGUGUUGAUUUCUGACAUAGAGACACAAAGCUUCCUUCCCUCCCCAUCUGCACCAUGUUUGUGGUUCCUGGAAGCCCUUCCCAGGGGCCCUGUCCAGCAGCUUUGGCAUGGAGGGCACCUUGUGCCUGAGUAGCAGCUGGCAAUGCCAGAGACAUCCAGUCCUGCUGAAUCCUUUCACUAAGGCCAGAAGCAGUCAGAAGGAAGGCACCCUUGGAAGUUUGUGCAUGGUCCCCAACCAGGGCACACAGGUGGUGACAGUGUAGGUCACAAGUGGGCUUCAGAGAAAAAGGGUCAGGAUGGAGAAAGGGUCAGAGCAGAGCCUCAUGAUGGUGCAAAGGAGCAAAGAAAAGGCUUUUCCUCUUGGUCAAGAAGCACCCCCAGAAUAAUGCAGUGUGGGGGCUGGCUGCCAAGGAAGCAGACACACAGGAAAGCCUUUUGGGUGCAGGAGGCACCCGGCCACACACAAGCCAGCAGUGUUCACUUGUUGCAAAGGCAGCCAACGGCCUGCAGUGCUGGGCGGGACAGGUGGUGCCAUGCGGUUUGUGGGGGCGAGCUGGGGGUACAGUUGCAGCCAAGCUCGUCGGAAGACGCUUCUGGUGCAUGGAAGUCCCCUUGCAGAGCUUGGGAUUAAAUGGCACUGACCUGAGGGAGUGUCAGAGCAGUUAUAUUCGGUUUCCUGCGUUUUCUGUAGUGGUCAUGUUUUAAGAUCUUGUUGUACAGGCUUUGUCCCAAGCCCAAAUCCAGCACAAUACUUCAAGCACACCAUUGCUAUCUGGUUGAGAGAAGUGAUUGUCCUGCUCUACUCUGUGCUGGUGUGACCUCACCUCGAGUACUGUGUGCAGUCUUGUGAACCACAGAACAAAAACUACAUGAAACUAUUGGAGAGUGUCCAGAGAAGGACUACAAAGAUGGUGAAGGUCCUUGAGGGGAAGACAUUUGAGGAGCGGUCAUUUGGCCUGUUCAGCCUGGAAAAGAGACCUCAUCAUGGUCUCCAGCUUCCUCACGA
RNAcentral lists this long non-coding RNA (1773 nucleotides) under Anas platyrhynchos (mallard). Its description in RNAcentral is "lncRNA (ENSAPLG00020013334.1)". Lineage: Eukaryota; Metazoa; Chordata; Aves; Anseriformes; Anatidae. The record is from RNAcentral.